RNAcentral lists this unclassified non-coding RNA (474 nucleotides) under uncultured fungus. RNAcentral describes it as "partial contains small subunit ribosomal RNA, internal transcribed spacer 1, and 5.8S ribosomal RNA". The stretch from base 1 to 73 matches the Rfam family "Eukaryotic small subunit ribosomal RNA", at positions 1759 to 1831 of the family's 1831-position model. Lineage: Eukaryota; Fungi. The record is from RNAcentral.
GCAAACUUGGUCAUUUAGAGGAAGUAAAAGUCGUAACAAGGUAACCGUAGGUGAACCUGCGGUUGGAUCAUUAGAAAAGGAUCUUUGGCAUGAAUGCUGCUGUUUCAGCGGACGUUUGUGUUUAUAAGAAACCAACCAUGUGCACCUUUUUAAAAACAAAGCUUGCUUUGUCUCUAAGCUUUCCCUCCCGGACGUAUUCGUUGCCUGGCAUCGUUUAUCGCACGCGUGCUUAGGGGGGAAAAGUGAUAGAGUCAUUCUUGCCUUCGCGACUUGCUUGUGCCUAGUAACUUUGUGAAAGGCAUUUGCUCGUGGCAAUACCACACGUCUUAAUUUUUGUCUUAAAUCUUAUGUAUUGGAUCGCCAGUGUUUAGUAGCCGGCUGUAGUUGGCGAAAGCACAGGAGAUGCUCUAUGUAUAAAUUUUUACAACUUUUAACAAUGGAUCUCUUGGCUCUCGCAUCGAUGAAGAACGCAGC